GGGGAAUUUUGGACAAUGGGGGAAACCCUGAUCCAGCCAUCCCGCGUGUGCGAUGAAGGCCUUCGGGUUGUAAAGCACUUUUGGCAGGAAAGAAACGUCGCGGGUUAAUACCCCGCGGAACUGACGGUACCUGCAGAAUAAGCACCGGCUAACUACGUGCCAGCAGCCGCGGUAAUACGUAGGGUGCAAGCGUUAAUCGGAAUUACUGGGCGUAAAGCGUGCGCAGGCGGUUUAUCAAGUCAGGGGUGAAAGGCUACGGCUCAACCGUAGUGAGCCUCUGAAACUGGUGAACUUGAGUGUAGGAGAGGAAAGUGGAAUUCCCAGUGUAGCGGUGAAAUGCGUAGAUAUUGGGAGGAACACCAGUGGCGAAGGCGACUUUCUGGACUACAACUGACGCUGAGGCACGAAAGCGUGGGGAGCAAACA
Molecule: ribosomal RNA, 425 nt
Filed under: uncultured bacterium
Lineage: Bacteria
Description: bacterial SSU rRNA
Rfam family: Bacterial small subunit ribosomal RNA
Source: RNAcentral